CUCUUAAGCUGUUUUGAUUGUUGCUCAGAAAGCCGUGGUUUAAGGCUGGCUUUCUAGCAGUAAUCAAGACUAAAUUUGAG
This 80-nucleotide microRNA precursor is filed under the name Trialeurodes vaporariorum (greenhouse whitefly). Its description in RNAcentral is "microRNA mir-315". It matches the Rfam family "mir-315 microRNA precursor family". The record is from RNAcentral. Lineage: Eukaryota; Metazoa; Arthropoda; Insecta; Hemiptera; Aleyrodidae.